This 1243-nucleotide ribosomal RNA is filed under the name metagenome. RNAcentral's name for it is "bacterial LSU rRNA". It matches the Rfam family "Bacterial large subunit ribosomal RNA", at positions 1564 to 2815 of the family's 2925-position model. The record is from RNAcentral.
UGAAUACGAGACGCUAAGGCGUCGAAGUAGUGUAUGUCAUACUUCCAAGAAAAGCUUGCACUGUCAUAAGUAAAAAAUGCCUGUACCAUAACCGACACAGGUGGGUAGGUAGAGUAUACUAAGGGGCGCGAGAUAACUCUCUCUAAGGAACUCGGCAAAAUAACUCCGUAACUUCGGGAUAAGGAGUACCUUAUUCUAUAAGGUUGCAAUAACAAGAUCCAAGCAACUGUUUAUCAAAAACACAGGUCUCCGCUAAGUCGUAAGACGAUGUAUGGGGGCUGACGCCUGCCCAGUGCCAGAAGGUUAAAGAAGUCGGUUAGCAUUAGCGAAGCUGGUAACUGAAGCCCUGGUGAACGGCGGCCGUAACAAUAACGGUCCUAAGGUAGCGAAAUUCCUUGUCGGGUAAGUUCCGACCCGCACGAAAGGCGUAAUGAUUUGGAUACUGUCUCGGAGAGGGGCUCGGUGAAAUAGACUUGUCUGUGAAGAUGCGGACUACCUGCACCAGGACAGAAAGACCCUAUGAAGCUUUACUGUAACUUGAAAUUGAAAUUGGACUUUAUUCGCGCAGUAUAGGUGGGAGGUGUUGAUUAUAAUCUUGCGGGAUUAUUGGAGCCAUCAGUGAGAUACCACUCUUGUAAUGUUAGAUUUCUAACUUUGAAUCAUUAUCUGGUCAAAGGACAGUUUCAGGCGGGCAGUUUGACUGGGGCGGUCGCCUCCCAAACGGUAACGGAGGCGUACAAAGGUUUCCUCUGAACGGGUAGAAAUCGUAUCUAGAGUGUAAAGGCAUAAGGAAGCUUGACUGUGAGACCUACAAGUCGAACAGGGACGAAAGUCGGUCUUAGUGAUCUGACGGUACUGAGUGGAAAGGCCGUCACUCAACGGAUAAAAGUUACUCUAAGGAUAACAGGCUGAUCUCCCCCAAGAGUUCACAUCGACGGGGAGGUUUGGCACCUCGAUGUCGGCUCAUCGCAUCCUGGGGCGGUAGUACGUCCCAAGGGUUGGGCUGUUCGCCCAUGAAAGCGGUACGCGAGCUGGGUUCAGAACGUCGUGAGACAGUUCGGUCCAUAUCCGGUGUAGGCGUUAGAAUAUUGAGAGGAGCCUUCUUUAGUACGAGAGGACCGAGAAGGACAUACCUCUGGUGUACCAGUUAUCGUGCCAACGGUAAACGCUGGGUAGCUAUGUAUGGUGUGGAUAACCGCUGAAAGCAUCUAAGUGGGAAGCCCACCUCAAGAUAAGUAUUCUC